Molecule: ribosomal RNA, 580 nt
Filed under: Enterococcus faecium
Lineage: Bacteria; Bacillati; Bacillota; Bacilli; Lactobacillales; Enterococcaceae
Description: bacterial SSU rRNA
Rfam family: Bacterial small subunit ribosomal RNA
Source: RNAcentral
GAGUGCUAAGUGUUGGAGGGUUUCCGCCCUUCAGUGCUGCAGCUAACGCAUUAAGCACUCCGCCUGGGGAGUACGACCGCAAGGUUGAAACUCAAAGGAAUUGACGGGGGCCCGCACAAGCGGUGGAGCAUGUGGUUUAAUUCGAAGCAACGCGAAGAACCUUACCAGGUCUUGACAUCCUUUGACCACUCUAGAGAUAGAGCUUCCCCUUCGGGGGCAAAGUGACAGGUGGUGCAUGGUUGUCGUCAGCUCGUGUCGUGAGAUGUUGGGUUAAGUCCCGCAACGAGCGCAACCCUUAUUGUUAGUUGCCAUCAUUCAGUUGGGCACUCUAGCAAGACUGCCGGUGACAAACCGGAGGAAGGUGGGGAUGACGUCAAAUCAUCAUGCCCCUUAUGACCUGGGCUACACACGUGCUACAAUGGGAAGUACAACGAGUCGCGAAGUCGCGAGGCUAAGCUAAUCUCUUAAAGCUUCUCUCAGUUCGGAUUGCAGGCUGCAACUCGCCUGCAUGAAGCCGGAAUCGCUAGUAAUCGCGGAUCAGCACGCCGCGGUGAAUACGUUCCCGGGCCUUGUACACACA